GGAUGUGAGGGCGAUCUGGCUGCGACAUCUAACCCCAUUGAUCGCCAGGGUUGAUUCGGCUGAUCUGGCUGGCUAGGCAGGUGUCCCCUUCCUCCCUCAAUGCUCCAUGUGCAUCCUUCCUGAAGCUGCGCACCACCCGGGAUAGAGGAGGACCGUUCCUUGGUCAAGGGUAUAUGAAUAGCUGUGCUCCCCUGCUAGAACCUCCAAACAAGCUCUCAAGAAUCUGCCUAAGACCCAUGUGUGGUGGUACACAUACCUGUAAUCCUAGCACUCAGAAAGCCGAGGCAGGAGGAUGGCUGGGAAUU
RNAcentral lists this small nuclear RNA (305 nucleotides) under Chinchilla lanigera (long-tailed chinchilla). RNAcentral describes it as "7SK RNA (ENSCLAG00000022052.1)". It matches the Rfam family "7SK RNA". From Rfam's summary of the family: 7SK was discovered as an abundant small nuclear RNA in the mid-70s but a possible function has only recently been suggested. Two independent studies have found that 7SK RNA binds the CDK9/cyclin T complex (known as elongation factor P-TEFb). Lineage: Eukaryota; Metazoa; Chordata; Mammalia; Rodentia; Chinchillidae. The record is from Rfam by way of RNAcentral.